GCAACCCGACCCGUCUCGGCCAACCGUGCACCUCCCGCACUCUCCCUCCCACCCACGCACGCACCCUCGCGCGCUCUCCUCCUCCACCACCACCUCACCCGUCCGGGCUCGGCGGCGUGGCUCCGCAGGAAGGGAUCGCCGGUGCGGGCGUCACCGGUGACGGGCCGUUUUGGGUAUGAGAGGGGACCUCCGCGAGGCGCCGAGCACCACCACCACCACCGCAGCAUCCAGCGUCGACGUCGGCGGCCCCAUGGACGGCCUCCUCGUCUUCGUCUUCUACCUCUCGCUUCCUAUACGUGGCGCCCGCGACCACUCCUCCUCCCUCUCCUCUAAUUGCUAGCCUCCCGCCCGGAUCG
RNAcentral lists this long non-coding RNA (356 nucleotides) under Hordeum vulgare. RNAcentral's name for it is "long non-coding RNA (HVUL_LNC005963)". The record is from RNAcentral. Lineage: Eukaryota; Viridiplantae; Streptophyta; Magnoliopsida; Poales; Poaceae.